RNAcentral lists this ribosomal RNA (262 nucleotides) under uncultured archaeon. RNAcentral describes it as "partial 16S ribosomal RNA". It matches the Rfam family "Archaeal small subunit ribosomal RNA", at positions 748 to 1008 of the family's 1478-position model. The record is from RNAcentral.
AGGGUGUAAACGCUGCAGACUUGGUGUUGGAGGCCCGUUUGGGGGGCAUUCAGUGCCGGAGAGAAGUUGUUAAGUCUGCUACUUGGGGAGUACGUCCGCAAGGAUGAAACUUAAAGGAAUUGGCGGGGGAGCACCGCAACGGGAGGAGCGUGCGGUUUAAUUGGAUUCAACACCGUAAACUCACCAGGGAAGACUGUUACAUGAAGGCCGAGAUGAAGACUCUGCUAGAUUUUCAGAGAGGUGGUGCAUGGCGUCAGUGACU